This 749-nucleotide ribosomal RNA is filed under the name uncultured Bacilli bacterium. RNAcentral's name for it is "bacterial SSU rRNA". It matches the Rfam family "Bacterial small subunit ribosomal RNA", at positions 28 to 757 of the family's 1533-position model. Lineage: Bacteria; Bacillati; Bacillota; Bacilli. The record is from RNAcentral.
GACGAACGCUGGCGGCGUGCCUAAUACAUGCAAGUCGAGCGGACCGACGGGAGCUUGCUCCCUUAGGUCAGCGGCGGACGGGUGAGUAACACGUGGGUAACCUGCCUGUAAGACUGGGAUAACUCCGGGAAACCGGGGCUAAUACCGGAUGCUUGAUUGAACCGCAUGGUUCCAAUCAUAAAAGGUGGCUUUUAGCUACCACUUACAGAUGGACCCGCGGCGCAUUAGCUAGUUGGUGAGGUAACGGCUCACCAAGGCGACGAUGCGUAGCCGACCUGAGAGGGUGAUCGGCCACACUGGGACUGAGACACGGCCCAGACUCCUACGGGAGGCAGCAGUAGGGAAUCUUCCGCAAUGGACGAAAGUCUGACGGAGCAACGCCGCGUGAGUGAUGAAGGUUUUCGGAUCGUAAAACUCUGUUGUUAGGGAAGAACAAGUACCGUUCGAAUAGGGCGGCACCUUGACGGUACCUAACCAGAAAGCCACGGCUAACUACGUGCCAGCAGCCGCGGUAAUACGUAGGUGGCAAGCGUUGUCCGGAAUUAUUGGGCGUAAAGCGCGCGCAGGCGGUUUCUUAAGUCUGAUGUGAAAGCCCCCGGCUCAACCGGGGAGGGUCAUUGGAAACUGGGGAACUUGAGUGCAGAAGAGGAGAGUGGAAUUCCACGUGUAGCGGUGAAAUGCGUAGAGAUGUGGAGGAACACCAGUGGCGAAGGCGACUCUCUGGUCUGUAACUGACGCUGAGGCGCGAA